Molecule: ribosomal RNA, 1489 nt
Filed under: Lactiplantibacillus pentosus
Lineage: Bacteria; Bacillati; Bacillota; Bacilli; Lactobacillales; Lactobacillaceae
Description: bacterial SSU rRNA
Rfam family: Bacterial small subunit ribosomal RNA
Source: RNAcentral
GACGAACGCUGGCGGCGUGCCUAAUACAUGCAAGUCGAACGAACUCUGGUAUUGAUUGGUGCUUGCAUCAUGAUUUACAUUUGAGUGAGUGGCGAACUGGUGAGUAACACGUGGGAAACCUGCCCAGAAGCGGGGGAUAACACCUGGAAACAGAUGCUAAUACCGCAUAACAACUUGGACCGCAUGGUCCGAGUUUGAAAGAUGGCUUCGGCUAUCACUUUUGGAUGGUCCCGCGGCGUAUUAGCUAGAUGGUGGGGUAACGGCUCACCAUGGCAAUGAUACGUAGCCGACCUGAGAGGGUAAUCGGCCACAUUGGGACUGAGACACGGCCCAAACUCCUACGGGAGGCAGCAGUAGGGAAUCUUCCACAAUGGACGAAAGUCUGAUGGAGCAACGCCGCGUGAGUGAAGAAGGGUUUCGGCUCGUAAAACUCUGUUGUUAAAGAAGAACAUAUCUGAGAGUAACUGUUCAGGUAUUGACGGUAUUUAACCAGAAAGCCACGGCUAACUACGUGCCAGCAGCCGCGGUAAUACGUAGGUGGCAAGCGUUGUCCGGAUUUAUUGGGCGUAAAGCGAGCGCAGGCGGUUUUUUAAGUCUGAUGUGAAAGCCUUCGGCUCAACCGAAGAAGUGCAUCGGAAACUGGGAAACUUGAGUGCAGAAGAGGACAGUGGAACUCCAUGUGUAGCGGUGAAAUGCGUAGAUAUAUGGAAGAACACCAGUGGCGAAGGCGGCUGUCUGGUCUGUAACUGACGCUGAGGCUCGAAAGUAUGGGUAGCAAACAGGAUUAGAUACCCUGGUAGUCCAUACCGUAAACGAUGAAUGCUAAGUGUUGGAGGGUUUCCGCCCUUCAGUGCUGCAGCUAACGCAUUAAGCAUUCCGCCUGGGGAGUACGGCCGCAAGGCUGAAACUCAAAGGAAUUGACGGGGGCCCGCACAAGCGGUGGAGCAUGUGGUUUAAUUCGAAGCUACGCGAAGAACCUUACCAGGUCUUGACAUACUAUGCAAAUCUAAGAGAUUAGACGUUCCCUUCGGGGACAUGGAUACAGGUGGUGCAUGGUUGUCGUCAGCUCGUGUCGUGAGAUGUUGGGUUAAGUCCCGCAACGAGCGCAACCCUUAUUAUCAGUUGCCAGCAUUAAGUUGGGCACUCUGGUGAGACUGCCGGUGACAAACCGGAGGAAGGUGGGGAUGACGUCAAAUCAUCAUGCCCCUUAUGACCUGGGCUACACACGUGCUACAAUGGAUGGUACAACGAGUUGCGAACUCGCGAGAGUAAGCUAAUCUCUUAAAGCCAUUCUCAGUUCGGAUUGUAGGCUGCAACUCGCCUACAUGAAGUCGGAAUCGCUAGUAAUCGCGGAUCAGCAUGCCGCGGUGAAUACGUUCCCGGGCCUUGUACACACCGCCCGUCGCACCAUGAGAGUUUGUAACACCCAAAGUCGGUGGGGUAACCUUUUAGGAACCAGCCGCCUAAGGUGGGACAGAUGAUUAGGGUG